This 21-nucleotide non-coding RNA is filed under the name Caenorhabditis elegans. Lineage: Eukaryota; Metazoa; Nematoda; Chromadorea; Rhabditida; Rhabditidae. The record is from RNAcentral.
UGUGACUUGUGUCUUGUAAAU